CCCUUAGAUGUUCUGGGCGGCACGCGCGCUACACUGGUUUAUAUAACGUGUAAUUUGGACGAUAGUCUGUAUAAAUCACUAAUAUAAAACCGUGAAUGGGAUAGUUUAUUGCAACUUACAAACUUUAACUAGGAAUCCCUUGUAGAAGUAGUGAAUUAUACUGCUUCGAAUACGUCCCUGCCGAUUGUACACACCGCCCGUCGUUUCUUCCGACUGGUACUCAUUGUGAAUUGCGAGGAGAUUCUGUCAAAUCGUUGUAAAUGCUGGGUAUUGGAGGAAGAAAAAGUCGUAACA
Molecule: ribosomal RNA, 294 nt
Filed under: uncultured eukaryote
Lineage: Eukaryota
Description: partial 18S ribosomal RNA
Rfam family: Eukaryotic small subunit ribosomal RNA
Source: RNAcentral